UGUUUCGGCUAGGGGGCCAUCCCGGCUUACCAACCCGAUGCAAACUGCGAAUACCGGAGAAUGUUAUCACGGGAGACACACGGCGGGUGCUAACGUCCGUCGUGAAGAGGGAAACAACCCAGACCGCCAGCUAAGGUCCCAAAGUCAUGGUUAAGUGGGAAACGAUGUGGGAAGGCCCAGACAGCCAGGAUGUUGGCUUAGAAGCAGCCAUCAUUUAAAGAAAGCGUAAUAGCUCACUGGUCGAGUCGGCCUGCGCGGAAGAUGUAACGGGGCUAAACCAUGCACCGAAGCUGCGGCAGCGAACGUAUCACUUAAAGCGAUUCAGCGGGUUACGAUUGACGGAGCGAAGCGACGUCAAAGCGUAUACAAAGUCGAGUCGGUUUAAGGAUACGUUCGUUGGGUAGGGGAGCGUUCUGUAAGCCUGUGAAGGUGGCCUGUGAGGGUUGCUGGAGGUAUCAGAAGUGCGAAUGCUGACAUAAGUAACGAUAAAGCGGGUGAAAAGCCCGCUCGCCGGAAGACCAAGGGUUCCUGUCCAACGUUAAUCGGGGCAGGGUGAGUCGACCCCUAAGGCGAGGCCGAAAGGCGUAGUCGAUGGGAAACGGGUUAAUAUUCCCGUACUUGGUGUUACUGCGAAGGGGGGACGGAGAAGGCUAUGUUGGCCGGGCGACGGUUGUCCCGGUUUAAGCGUGUAGGUGUGUGUUCCAGGUAAAUCCGGUUCACUUUAACACUGAGGCGUGACGACGAGGCACUACGGUGCUGAAGCAACAAAUGCCCUGCUUCCAGGAAAAGCCUCUAAGCAUCAGGUAACAUCAAAUCGUACCCCAAACCGACACAGGUGGUCAGGUAGAGAAUACCAAGGCGCUUGAGAGAACUCGGGUGAAGGAACUAGGCAAAAUGGUGCCGUAACUUCGGGAGAAGGCACGCUGACACGUAGGUGAAGUGAUUUACUCA
This 951-nucleotide ribosomal RNA is filed under the name Salmonella enterica subsp. enterica serovar Newport. RNAcentral's name for it is "partial 23S ribosomal RNA". It matches the Rfam family "Bacterial large subunit ribosomal RNA", at positions 911 to 1773 of the family's 2925-position model. RNAcentral also lists the same sequence under 1 other name. Lineage: Bacteria; Pseudomonadati; Pseudomonadota; Gammaproteobacteria; Enterobacterales; Enterobacteriaceae. The record is from RNAcentral.